Molecule: long non-coding RNA, 2204 nt
Filed under: Triticum aestivum (bread wheat)
Lineage: Eukaryota; Viridiplantae; Streptophyta; Magnoliopsida; Poales; Poaceae
Description: long non-coding RNA (TAES_LNC013407)
Source: RNAcentral
CUAACUUGGCCCCCGUACUAAAGAUGCAUGGCUUGAUUUUAAAGUUAUGGUUAUGAACACAAAGCUAAUUUCUUGUGAAUUAAUCCCUAGAAUCUCUCUUUCGGCAGGUUCUUAUUUAUCUAUGCCUAUAUGUUGUUCCAUGAAAAUACAAGUAGACUCCAAGGUGGUGCUGCUUGGAUCUGGGGGAGCACUGGUGAGCCAUCCCUUCUCCGCCACCAUCCCUGAUUUCUUUGUGUGCAGUACAUAUGCAUGUUGUUUUAGAGCUACCCCCGUAUACAUCUGAUUAGUGAUUAACUUGCUGCAAAGAAGCCGUGUAGUCAUGAAAGUUGAACCAUGCCUGAAUUAGAAAUGACAGUUUUGUUGAUUUGCCUACUUUAUCUCAAGAACACGCCAUCCAUUGAUAUUUUCUAUAGAUCUUAGCUUCACUGUUCGAGUCUCUCGUGAGUGCAUUAAUCCCAAUCUGACACAAGAUAUUAUUCUUUGUUCCCCUUUCAUUUUGUUACUUACUUGUAGAGAGAAUGGAUCUUAAUUUUGAUUUUAUGAAUAGCCACAUCAAUUCUCUGAUUGUGGCACACACAAAUAAUUAGCUCUCUUCACUUCGAUUUGAAUUUGAGAGUAAUCAGUAGAGGAUUGGAUUCAUGGUCGCAAGAUCUCUAAGAUCGAUUAACUUGCUUUUAAUAUUAUAUGAAGUUCAAAUCCCUUUAUAUUCCAAGACAAGAAACACUGAGUUGUAAAACUCUGUCAGUGUUGAAUAGUGUAACAAAACACAUAUUGGGAUAAUUCUACUUUAAUUUGUUUGCCAUACUUACCAGCUCACCUGAUUUACCAGCUGUAAGCUUCAUUGAUCCAAAACCAUUUUAGCCAUCAUGAGAUCGAAGUUUGUAGGCCCCCCUUGAAUAAGCUAACGUUUCCACCUUAUUGUGGGUACCACGAAAACAUUAAUAAUAAGAGGCACAAACAAAUAUUAUUUUGUUUGUUUAGAUGAUGCAUUUCGUAACGUAUCAUGCAUUGAAAUAAUGAAUCCCUUGCUAUGUAGUAUUAUUUGUGCAAUUCCAUGCUACUCUGGGUGGAAGUUAUGUAUUAAUACUUUCAGUAUUGAUGGAUGGAUAGAUGUAUUGUGGUAAUAUAUAUUUUUGGGCACCCUGUGUGAUAAUAUUUUGAGAGAGUCUACCUCGAGAGAAUUACAUGAUGCAAGGGGUAUAACUUCGGUUCAGAUUCUUAUACAUAGUUCUCCUUAUAAUGUAGACUGUGACGUAUGAUGCUUCCAUGGCUUAGUUCAAGGAAUGACUGAUGCUAUUUUCUUGCCUAUGGGUUUGGGCUACUAAUUUUUAUUGCCAUAAUUUAUUGUUUGUCAUCUAAAAAGGAUUCAGAGGGAUACAAAGGGUCCUCUAAUUUGCAACCGAUUAAACUGCUUGGUUCCUGAUUCAUAUUUGUUUUUCUAUAUUAUGGACAACCGAUUAAGAAUAUUUACAGAGUAGGAGUCUUCGUUUGAUGCCACAUUUGACAUCACCCAGUUUGUGUGUAGGGUGCUUAAUAAGUUUCUUGAGAUGUAUGCACUGCAUGAAGGAGCACAUUUCUGUCAAUUUUACUAGAGGUCAAGGUUACCUUCAAAUGCAUGUAGUUAUUUGUAAGCUUCAACAGCUUGAAUGCAAUGGAAGUUUGGAUUGAAAGGAUUUUUGGUUGGCUAUAAGGAAGAGAGUAGUUGAUGGCCAUUUGUACUGUUGUUGUGGUCGUCCUUGGCGCAGAAGGGGUGGCGGGGGAGGCACAGAGAUGGGGCAAACCUUUCACUGUGUCUAAUCCACUUGAUUCCAUCAUUUUCUAUGAGAUGCACCAAUGAUUGUAACGAAUCUUCACGCUUUGUACUAAACCUUUACUACUAUGUAUUUUGUUUGCUCCUAUGUCAUGAGAAAUUCCAAAUGUUGGAUUUGUGCCUGGCACAUGCCGCGAGCCGGCUCAGUUGUCCCGGGCCUUGCUUUUGGAACAAAUGUUUGCUUACCUUGCUUUUGCUAUAUCUUCACCAUUUGUGAUGUACCAAACGUUUUCUUAAUCUGUAUGCUCUAAACUCGGUUUUCCUGGGCAACAACUAUAUACCUUACUUUCAGUAUAUCUCUAGUGUUUGUGAUUUGUACAUAACACAUUUGGCUUGACCAGUUAUUCUAAUUUCCUCUGAAUGUACAAAAUGCUAUGUUGGAGUUUUAUGCGUU